This 195-nucleotide ribosomal RNA is filed under the name uncultured bacterium. RNAcentral describes it as "partial 16S ribosomal RNA". It matches the Rfam family "Bacterial small subunit ribosomal RNA", at positions 338 to 524 of the family's 1533-position model. The record is from RNAcentral.
CCUACGGGAGGCAGCAGUCGAGAGGCUUCGGCAAUGGGGGAAACCCUGACCGAGCGACGCCGCGUGAGGGAUGAAGGCCCUUGGGUUGUAACCCUCUUUUGUUCGGGAAGAAAUGCGACCAGGUGAAUAAUCUGGUCGUUUGACGGUACCGGACGAAUAAGCUCCGGCUAACUCCGUGCCAGCAGCCGCGGUAAU